GCCCGGAUGGCGGAAUGGUAGACGCUGCGGCCUUAAAAGCCGCUGUCCCCAUCGGGGGCGUGCGGGUUCGAAUCCCGCUCCGGGCA
This 86-nucleotide transfer RNA is filed under the name Thermoleophilia bacterium. Its description in RNAcentral is "tRNA-Leu". It matches the Rfam family "tRNA". From Rfam's summary of the family: Transfer RNA (tRNA) molecules are approximately 80 nucleotides in length. Their secondary structure includes four short double-helical elements and three loops (D, anti-codon, and T loops). Further hydrogen bonds mediate the characteristic L-shaped molecular structure. tRNAs have two regions of fundamental functional importance: the anti-codon, which is responsible for specific mRNA codon recognition, and the 3' end, to which the tRNAs corresponding amino acid is attached (by aminoacyl-tRNA synthetases). tRNAs cope with the degeneracy of the genetic code in two manners: having more than one tRNA (with a specific anti-codon) for a particular amino acid; and 'wobble' base-pairing, i.e. permitting non-standard base-pairing at the 3rd anti-codon position. The record is from RNAcentral. Lineage: Bacteria; Bacillati; Actinomycetota; Thermoleophilia.